This 777-nucleotide long non-coding RNA is filed under the name Heterocephalus glaber (naked mole-rat). RNAcentral describes it as "lncRNA (ENSHGLG00100043230.1)". Lineage: Eukaryota; Metazoa; Chordata; Mammalia; Rodentia; Bathyergidae. The record is from RNAcentral.
CAGCCACCCCAGGUGUCUGUCCCAGAGCUGCCCCUAAGCCUGACCUCUGAGGGGCCUUGCAGGGAACCCAGCAGCCAGGUGGACUUUUCCAGCUCUGGAUGAAUGUGAACAGGGCCAUGCCUGGGGCCGAGUCAUCGCUUGCUCACCGACCUUCGGGAUCCUCCACCUGAGGGCCAGAAUGCUCUCCGGUGCUCGAGCCCUGUUAGGACUGCGGCAUAGGACAGCACGAUGCGGGACACCUCAGCCACACUCCCAGGUCACACAGAAUGCACAGCGCAGCUCAGGCUCCAUGCCGGUGUCCAGGCCCGAGCUCUGUGGCUUCCCCUGUCCUCUGUCUGCUCUUCCCCAGGACAGCGGCAGCCACCUGGACCUCCGUGGCCCUGACCACUGGGCUGUGAUGGAGGUGACGCGUGUCACUCUAGGCCACAGCCUGUGAGUGCUGGUGUCUAGCCCUCUGUUCUCUCCUUUCUUCUGGUGGUGGCCACAGAGGCCGUGGCUUGAAAUGGGGAGGCCCCGGGGCUUGGAUGGCCGGGCCAUCACACCAGGCACAGCGUGGUGCCUCACAGACUUCUGUUCACAAACUGCACAGCGCUUCCCAGGGAAGGUGGCACAGGACUGUCCACAACACAGCUGCAAGGCCAGGCCGAGCAUAGCGAGGGUCGGCCCCAGCCCUGGCCUCCUGGUCCUGCUUUCCUCCACCUGCACUGAGCUUGCCCCGUGGCUGUCCCUGUCUCCACCCCAGUGGCCAUGUCCAGAUGGCAGCUGCGGGGCUCUGAA